CCCUUAGAUGUCCUGGGCCGCACGCGUGCUAAACUGACGCCUACAGCGAGUACUUCCCAGCCCCGAGAGGUGGCUGGUAAUCAGCAAUAGGCGUCGUGAUGGGGAUAGAUCUUUGGAAUUAUGGAUCUUGAACGAGGAAUGCCUAGUAAGCGCAGGUCAUUAGCCUGCGCUGAUUAAGUCCCUGCCCUUUGUACACACCGCCCGUCGCUCCUACCGAUUUCGAGUGGUCCGGUGAAUCUUUCGGACUGCGCGCGGCCUCGUGCCGUGUCGCGGAAAGUCAGGUAAACCUUAUCACUUAGAGGAAGGAGAAGUCGUAACA
Molecule: ribosomal RNA, 319 nt
Filed under: uncultured eukaryote
Lineage: Eukaryota
Description: partial 18S ribosomal RNA
Rfam family: Eukaryotic small subunit ribosomal RNA
Source: RNAcentral